RNAcentral lists this ribosomal RNA (253 nucleotides) under uncultured bacterium. RNAcentral describes it as "partial 16S ribosomal RNA". It matches the Rfam family "Bacterial small subunit ribosomal RNA", at positions 524 to 776 of the family's 1533-position model. The record is from RNAcentral.
UACGAAGGGGGCUAGCGUUGCUCGGAAUUACUGGGCGUAAAGCGCGCGUAGGCGGCUUUGCAAGUCGGGUGUGAAAUCCCCAGGCUUAACCUGGGAACUGCAUUCGAGACUGCAUUGCUAGAGUAUGGGAGAGGGAAGUGGAAUUUCCGGUGUAGCGGUGAAAUGCGUAGAUAUCGGAAGGAACAUCAGUGGCGAAAGCGACUUCCUGGACCAAUACUGACGCUCAUAUGCGAAAGCGUGGGGAGCAAACAGG